GGUUAAGCGACUAAGCGUACACGGUGGAUGCCCUGGCAGUCAGAGGCGAUGAAGGACGUGCUAAUCUGCGAUAAGCGCCGGUAAGGUGAUAUGAACCGUUAUAACCGGCGAUUUCCGAAUGGGGAAACCCAGUGUGACUCGUCACACUAUCAUUAACUGAAUCCAUAGGUUAAUGAGGCGAACCGGGGGAACUGAAACAUCUAAGUACCCCGAGGAAAAGAAAUCAACCGAGAUUCCCCCAGUAGCGGCGAGCGAACGGGGAGGAGCCCAGAGCCUGAAUCAGCAUGUGUGUUAGUGGAAGCGUCUGGAAAGGCGCGCGAUACAGGGUGACAGCCCCGUACACAAAAGCGCAUGUGCUGUGAGCUCGAUGAGUAGGGCGGGACACGUGGUAUCCUGUCUGAAUAUGGGGGGACCAUCCUCCAAGGCUAAAUACUCCUGACUGACCGAUAGUGAACCAGUACCGUGAGGGAAAGGCGAAAAGAACCCCGGCGAGGGGAGUGAAAAAGAACCUGAAACCGUGUACGUACAAGCAGUGGGAGCACCCUUUGGGGUGUGACUGCGUACCUUUUGUAUAAUGGGUCAGCGACUUAUAUUCUGUAGCAAGGUUAACCGAAUAGGGGAGCCGGAGGGAAACCGAGUCUUAAUUGGGCGUUAAGUUGCAGGGUAUAGACCCGAAACCCGGUGAUCUAGCCAUGGGCAGGUUGAAGGUUGGGUAACACUAACUGGAGGACCGAACCGACUAAUGUUGAAAAAUUAGCGGAUGACCUGUGGCUGGGGGUGAAAGGCCAAUCAAACCGGGAGAUAGCUGGUUCUCCCCGAAAGCUAUUUAGGUAGCGCCUCGUGAAUUCAUCUCCGGGGGUAGAGCACUGUUUCGGCUAGGGGGCCAUCCCGGCUUACCAACCCGAUGCAAACUGCGAAUACCGGAGAAUGUUAUCACGGGAGACACACGGCGGGUGCUAACGUCCGUCGUGAAGAGGGAAACAACCCAGACCGCCAGCUAAGGUCCCAAAGUCAUGGUUAAGUGGGAAACGAUGUGGGAAGGCCCAGACAGCCAGGAUGUUGGCUUAGAAGCAGCCAUCAUUUAAAGAAAGCGUAAUAGCUCACUGGUCGAGUCGGCCUGCGCGGAAGAUGUAACGGGGCUAAACCAUGCACCGAAGCUGCGGCAGCGACGCUGAUGCGUUGUUGGGUAGGGGAGCGUUCUGUAAGCCUGUGAAGGUGGCCUGUGAGGGUUGCUGGAGGUAUCAGAAGUGCGAAUGCUGACAUAAGUAACGAUAAAGCGGGUGAAAAGCCCGCUCGCCGGAAGACCAAGGGUUCCUGUCCAACGUUAAUCGGGGCAGGGUGAGUCGACCCCUAAGGCGAGGCCGAAAGGCGUAGUCGAUGGGAAACGGGUUAAUAUUCCCGUACUUGGUGUUACUGCGAAGGGGGGACGGAGAAGGCUAUGUUGGCCGGGCGACGGUUGUCCCGGUUUAAGCGUGUAGGUGUGUGUUCCAGGUAAAUCCGGUUCACUUUAACACUGAGGCGUGA
RNAcentral lists this ribosomal RNA (1524 nucleotides) under Salmonella enterica. RNAcentral's name for it is "partial 23S ribosomal RNA". It matches the Rfam family "Bacterial large subunit ribosomal RNA", at positions 1 to 1566 of the family's 2925-position model. Lineage: Bacteria; Pseudomonadati; Pseudomonadota; Gammaproteobacteria; Enterobacterales; Enterobacteriaceae. The record is from RNAcentral.